CCUACGGGUGGCAGCAGUGAGGAAUAUUGGUCAAUGGGCGGGAGCCUGAACCAGCCAAGUCGCGUGAGGGACGACGGUCCUAUGGAUUGUAAACCUCUUUUGUCGGGGAACAAAUGCGCCUACGGGUGGGCGGAUGAGUGUACCCGAAGAACAAGCAUCGGCUAACUCCGGGCCAGCAGCCGCGGUAAUACGGAGGCUGCGAGCGUUAUCCGGAUUUAUUGGGUUUAGGGGGUGCGUAGGCGGACAGUCAAGUCAGCGGUAAAAAUGCGGUGCUCAACGCCGUACAGCCGUUGAAACUGGCAGUCUUGAGUGGGCGAGAGGUAUGCGGAAUGCGUGGUGUAGCGGUGAAAUGCAUAGAUAUCACGAAGAACUCCGAUGGCGAAGGCAGCAUACCGGCGACCGACUGACGCUGAGGCACGAAAGCGUGGGUAUCGAACAGGAUUAGAUACCCUGGUAGUC
RNAcentral lists this ribosomal RNA (459 nucleotides) under uncultured bacterium. RNAcentral describes it as "partial 16S ribosomal RNA". It matches the Rfam family "Bacterial small subunit ribosomal RNA", at positions 338 to 795 of the family's 1533-position model. The record is from RNAcentral.